RNAcentral lists this ribosomal RNA (253 nucleotides) under uncultured bacterium. RNAcentral's name for it is "partial 16S ribosomal RNA". It matches the Rfam family "Bacterial small subunit ribosomal RNA", at positions 524 to 776 of the family's 1533-position model. The record is from RNAcentral.
UACGGAGGGAGCUAGCGUUGUUCGGAAUUACUGGGCGUAAAGCGUGCGCAGGCGGUUUUGUAAGUCUGUCGUGAAAGCCCCGGGCUCAACCUGGGAAUUGCGAUGGAGACUGCAAGGCUUGAAUCUGGCAGAGGGGGGUAGAAUUCCACGUGUAGCAGUGAAAUGCGUAGAGAUGUGGAGGAACACCGAUGGCGAAGGCAGCCCCCUGGGUCAAGAUUGACGCUCAUGCACGAAAGCGUGGGGAGCAAACAGG